UGAACCGCAUGGUUCAAAAGUGAAAGACGGUCUUGCUGUCACUUAUAGAUGGAUCCGCGCUGCAUUAGCUAGUUGGUAAGGUAACGGCUUACCAAGGCAACGAUGCAUAGCCGACCUGAGAGGGUGAUCGGCCACACUGGAACUGAGACACGGUCCAGACUCCUACGGGAGGCAGCAGUAGGGAAUCUUCCGCAAUGGGCGAAAGCCUGACGGAGCAACGCCGCGUGAGUGAUGAAGGUCUUCGGAUCGUAAAACUCUGUUAUUAGGGAAGAACAUAUGUGUAAGUAACUGUGCACAUCUUGACGGUACCUAAUCAGAAAGCCACGGCUAACUACGUGCCAGCAGCCGCGGUAAUACGUAGGUGGCAAGCGUUAUCCGGAAUUAUUGGGCGUAAAGCGCGCGUAGGCGGUUUUUUAAGUCUGAUGUGAAAGCCCACGGCUCAACCGUGGAGGGUCAUUGGAAACUGGAAAACUUGAGUGCAGAAGAGGAAAGUGGAAUUCCAUGUGUAGCGGUGAAAUGCGCAGAGAUAUGGAGGAACACCAGUGGCGAAGGCGACUUUCUGGUCUGUAACUGACGCUGAUGUGCGAAAGCGUGGGGAUCAAACAGGAUUAGAUACCCUGGUAG
RNAcentral lists this ribosomal RNA (624 nucleotides) under Staphylococcus aureus. RNAcentral describes it as "bacterial SSU rRNA". It matches the Rfam family "Bacterial small subunit ribosomal RNA", at positions 182 to 793 of the family's 1533-position model. Lineage: Bacteria; Bacillati; Bacillota; Bacilli; Caryophanales; Staphylococcaceae. The record is from RNAcentral.